AGUGAACGCUGGCGGUAGGCCUAACACAUGCAAGUCGAACGGCAGCACAGGAGAGCUUGCUCUCUGGGUGGCGAGUGGCGGACGGGUGAGGAAUACAUCGGAAUCUACUUUUUCGUGGGGGAUAACGUAGGGAAACUUACGCUAAUACAGCAUACGACCUACGGGUGAAAGCAGGGGACCUUCGGGCCUUGCGCGAUUGAAUGAGCCGAUGUCGGAUUAGCUAGUUGGCGGGGUAAAGGCCCACCAAGGCGCCGAUCCGUAGCUGGUCUGAGAGGAUGAUCAGCCACACUGGAACUGAGACACGGUCCAGACUCCGACGGGAGGCAGCAGUGGGGAAUAUUGGACAAUGGGCGCAAGCCUGAUCCAGCCAUACCGCGUGGGUGAAGAAGGCCUUCGGGUUGUAAAGCCGUUUUGUUGGGAAAGAAAUCCAGCUGGCUAAUACCCGGUUGGGAUGACGGUACCCAAAGAAUAAGCACCGGCUAACUUCGUGCCAGCCGCCGCGGUAA
This 506-nucleotide ribosomal RNA is filed under the name uncultured bacterium. RNAcentral's name for it is "partial 16S ribosomal RNA". It matches the Rfam family "Bacterial small subunit ribosomal RNA", at positions 29 to 523 of the family's 1533-position model. The record is from RNAcentral.